This 406-nucleotide ribosomal RNA is filed under the name uncultured bacterium. RNAcentral's name for it is "partial 16S ribosomal RNA". It matches the Rfam family "Bacterial small subunit ribosomal RNA", at positions 30 to 526 of the family's 1533-position model. The record is from RNAcentral.
AUUGAACGCUGGCGGCAGGCCUAACACAUGCAAGUCGAGCGAGCGGCGGACGGGUGAGUAAUGUCUGGGAAACUGCCUGAUGUAGGGGGAUAACUACUGGAAACGGUAGCUAAUACCGCAUACCCUCAGAUGUGCCCAGAUGGGAUUAGCGAGUAGGUGGGGUAACUGCUCACCUAGGCGACGAUACCUAGCUGGUCUGAGAGGAUGAACAGCAACACUGGAACUGGGACACGGUCCAGACUCUUACGGGAGGCAGCAGGGGGGAAUAUUGCACAAUGGGCGCAAGCCUGAUGCAGCCAUGCCGCGUGUGUGAAGAAGGCCUUCGGGUUUUAAAGCACUUUCAGCGGGGAGGUGUUACCCGCAGAAGAAGCACCGGCUAACUCCGUGCCAGCAGCCGCGGUAAUUC